RNAcentral lists this unclassified non-coding RNA (404 nucleotides) under soil metagenome. RNAcentral describes it as "partial contains 5.8S ribosomal RNA, internal transcribed spacer 2, and large subunit ribosomal RNA". The stretch from base 4 to 120 matches the Rfam family "5.8S ribosomal RNA", at positions 39 to 154 of the family's 154-position model. The record is from RNAcentral.
GAUAAGAACGUAGCGAAAUGCGAUAAGUAAUGUGAAUUGCAGAAUUCAGUGAAUCAUCGAAUCUUUGAACGCACCUUGCGCCCUUUGGCUAUUCCGAAGGGCAUGCCUGUUUGAGUAUCAUGAACAUCUCAACUCCUCACGGUUCGCCCGUGACGAGCUUGGACUUUGGGGGUCUUGCCGGCCUGCGGGUCGGCUCCUCUCAAAUGAAUCAGCUUGCCGGUGUUUGGUGGCGUCACAGGUGUGAUAAAUAUCUACGCUUGUGGUUUUCCGCCAGGUAACCUCCAGCGAUGGGGGUUCACUGGAGCUCACGAAUGUCUCUCCUCGGUGAGGACAGCUCUUUGAACGUUUGAUCUCAAAUCAGGUAGGGCUACCCGCUGAACUUAAGCAUAUCAAUAAGCGGAGGA